ACACACACACCUUUAAUAAGCUUAAACUCUCAUUUGGAUCAUUUCUGUUACAACCUGAUGUGAGCAUGAAUGCAAACAAGGAAAAAAAUAUUAAUAGGUCAGAGGGUCAAAUUCUUGUGGUUAGAGCAUGGCUGCUCAGUAACAGCUUUGUGGGUUAAAACUCCAUGUGAGUUUACUGCACCAUUUCUUUUUUACAUCAACUUUUUUCAUCUCUUAAAGAUCGUCUGUUCAUUUUAAACCAGCGUUUGUCUCUUCCCAGCAACACCCCCCUCCGAAAAAGCUGAACCCUUUCCCGAUGGAGAACAGAGGAGCUCUGUGAUAUUCAGAUCUGGAGGGAAGAGAAGCAGAUCUACAUCAUGAUUACUGUGACUGUCACUUCACAAACCACAGACCUUCAGCAUCACCACAUCUCUGCUGCAGCAAAUGCCUUCAGGAACGGUUUCUCACUCUGACAUUGUGAAUUCUGAGGUCACAUUUCUCCCAACGCCUGCUCCCUCCUCCUCCUCCAGGAGGGGUGGCAGAGAUGCUCAGAGCUUUGCUACCUGGAGACCGACAGCCUCCCUCCUCCAGCCAAUCAGAGGCUGUGGAAAACAGCCUCCUGCUCCACAAUUGGUCCAGCGCAGCCGGAGCCCACUCCAUCGAUGGCCGAGUCAUUGUGUCGUCUGGCACUGCCAAAGCCAAUUAUACUGGCCCCCCCUUGUCCUUUGUCCUGAUCUCUUUUCUCCAAUAAACCCUCCUUAUAUGGGAGCUCUGAAACACACACAGACUGACACACGCAUACAAAUCUGUCCCCCCGACUCCCCAGAAUGUCAGGAGGGGAGUCUGGGAAUCAGGAGGACAUGAAACUCAUAAUAAUGAGACAUUAGUUGAAAUGUAACCACGACUGACAACAAGACCACCAAAACUCAUUUCUGUCUAUAAGUUUAACAAUGCUAAAGAUAAAAACAGUGUGUGUGUUCACAACAGGAUUUCAAAUUUACAGGGCAGCUUUAAAAUCUAAAAUGUAAGCUUUGUGUAGCUGUGUCACAGGUUUUUACACAAACACACACUAAACAGAGUCACAAGAAGGUGUAACAAAACACCCAGGUACAAACCCUGACACACACACACACACACACAGAGGAACACACCUGUAGGCUGAGUCUACUCAAACAUGCAAAUCUAAAACAAACCCUGCAAAGAGGAAGUGUACACAGGAGGCAAAAGUCCAGAAAACACACACACGCACACACACCUUUUCAGGCAGCUUAUUGUUUUAAGUGAAUUAAAAACUGCAUUUUCUUUUUUUUAUCCAAAUAUAAUUUUUAUGUCACA
This is a long non-coding RNA of Austrofundulus limnaeus, 1314 nucleotides long. RefSeq lists it as uncharacterized. The transcript is spliced from 2 exons. NCBI's taxonomy places the organism in Eukaryota, Metazoa, Chordata, Actinopteri, Cyprinodontiformes, Rivulidae. The record is from RefSeq and is a predicted model, not a curated record.